AUGAACGCUAGCGGCAGGCCUAAUACAUGCAAGUCGAACGGUAACAGGUCCAGCAAUGGAUGCUGACGAGUGGCGCACGGGUGCGUAACACGUAUGCAACCUACCUAUUACAGUGGGAUAGCCCGGAGAAAUUCGGAUUAAUACCGCAUGAAACUAUUGGGAGGCAUCUUCUGGUAGUUAAAAUUUUAUGGUAAUAGAAGGGCAUGCGGCUGAUUAGCAGUUGGUAGUGUAAUGGACUACCAAGGCUACGAUCAG
This 255-nucleotide ribosomal RNA is filed under the name uncultured bacterium. RNAcentral describes it as "partial 16S ribosomal RNA". It matches the Rfam family "Bacterial small subunit ribosomal RNA", at positions 29 to 283 of the family's 1533-position model. The record is from RNAcentral.